AGCAGCCGCGGUAAUUCCAGCUCCAAUAGCGUAUAUUAAAGUUGUUGCAGUUAAAAAGCUCGUAGUUGAAUUUCGGGAUUGGCGCAUCGGUCGUGCCUCACGGGGUAUGAACUGGUGCAGUCAAUUUCUCACCUUCUGGAGAACCGCGAUGUCCUUAAUUGGAUGCCGCGGGGAACCAGGACCUUUACUUUGAAAAAUUAGAGUGUUUAAAGCAGGCAUUUUUGCUUGAAUACAUUAGCAUGGAAUAAUAAAAUAGGACGGCAUGGUUCUAUUUUGUUGGUUUCUAGGACCACCGUAAUGAUUAAUAGGGAUAGUUGGGGGCAUUAGUAUUCAAUUGUCAGAGGUGAAAUUCUUGGAUUUAUUGAAGACUAACUACUGCGAAAGCAUUUGCCAAGGAUGUUUUCAUUAAUCAAGACGAAAGUUAGGGGAUCGAAGACGAUCAGAUACCGUCGUAGUCUUAACCAUAAACUAAUGCCGACUAGGAAUCAGACGAUGUUAAUUUUUAAUGUACUCG
This 514-nucleotide ribosomal RNA is filed under the name uncultured Entrophospora. Its description in RNAcentral is "SSU rRNA". It matches the Rfam family "Eukaryotic small subunit ribosomal RNA", at positions 569 to 1078 of the family's 1831-position model. The record is from RNAcentral. Lineage: Eukaryota; Fungi; Glomeromycota; Glomeromycetes; Entrophosporales; Entrophosporaceae.